GUCAGGAUGGCCAAGCGGUCUAAGGCGCUGCGUUCAGGUCGCAGUCUCCAAUGGAGGCGUGGGUUCAAAUCCCACUUCUGACA
Danionella cerebrum is the source of this 83-nucleotide non-coding RNA. NCBI's taxonomy places the organism in Eukaryota, Metazoa, Chordata, Actinopteri, Cypriniformes, Danionidae. The record is from the annotation of a GenBank genome assembly.